UACGAAGGGGGCUAGCGUUGUUCGGAAUUACUGGGCGUAAAGCGCGCGUAGGCGGGCGUUUAAGUCAGGGGUGAAAUGCCGGGGCUCAACCUCGGAACGGCCUUUGAUACUGGAUGCCUGGAGUUCGGGAGAGGUUGGUGGAAUUCCGAGUGUAGAGGUGAAAUUCGUAGAUAUUCGGAGGAACACCAGAAGCGAAGGCGGCCAACUGGCCCGACACUGACGCUGAGGCGCGAAAGCGUGGGGAGCAAACAGG
RNAcentral lists this ribosomal RNA (253 nucleotides) under uncultured bacterium. RNAcentral's name for it is "partial 16S ribosomal RNA". It matches the Rfam family "Bacterial small subunit ribosomal RNA", at positions 524 to 776 of the family's 1533-position model. The record is from RNAcentral.